This 516-nucleotide ribosomal RNA is filed under the name uncultured bacterium. RNAcentral's name for it is "bacterial SSU rRNA". It matches the Rfam family "Bacterial small subunit ribosomal RNA", at positions 29 to 524 of the family's 1533-position model. The record is from RNAcentral.
AACGAACGUUAGCGGCGCGCUUAACACAUGCAAGUCGAGCGAGAAAGGGCUUCGGCCCGGUAAAGCGGCGCACGGGUGAGUAACACGUAGGUAAUUUGCCUCUAGGUGGUGGAUAACCUUCCGAAAGGAGGGCUAAUACAGCAUAAGACCACGGUUCCGAAAGGGAUUGGGGUCAAAGCCGGCCUCUUCACGAAAGCUGGUGCCAAGAGAUGAGCCUGCGGCCCAUCAGGUAGUUGGUAGGGUAAUGGCCUACCAAGCCGAAGACGGGUAGCUGGUCUGAGAGGAUGAUCAGCCACACUGGAACUGAGACACGGUCCAGACUCCUACGGGAGGCAGCAGUGGGGAAUCUUGCGCAAUGGGCGAAAGCCUGACGCAGCGACGCCGCGUGAGUGAUGAAGGCCUUCGGGUUGUAAAGCUCUGUGGAGGGGGACGAAUAAGGGUUGGGCUAAUAUCCAACCUGAUGACGGUACCCCUUUAGCAAGCACCGGCUAACUCUGUGCCAGCAGCCGCGGUAAU